Long non-coding RNA from Nycticebus coucang (slow loris), 1854 nucleotides. RefSeq lists it as uncharacterized. The record is from RefSeq and is a predicted model, not a curated record. The transcript is spliced from 3 exons. Lineage: Eukaryota; Metazoa; Chordata; Mammalia; Primates; Lorisidae.
CUGCGGGUCCCCGCCCUCCUGAGCUGGCGCAGGCUGCUGCGGGCCAGAUUUGUCCAGAUAACUGCCCAUGAGGGCAGUUCAGCAGAGUCAGGUCCUUCGAAUAGGGUCCGCUACUCUGGGAGGUUUGUGUUGACUACAGACUUUGCCAAGGUGAAGGGAUCAGUGUGUUCGCUGACGUUCCGUGUUCUGAGCAGCGCGUUCUGAGUUCCAGCAUCAGGAGCCUCCAUGACCAGCCUGACCUGAGCACCUACAGGCAGCACCAGCAUGGGUACUACAAGAGGGCAUACACACUACUCAGACUAUGAUGAAAUUAAUGGCCUGAUUCUUCACCCUUGUUGGUAUCCACCAUCUCAGCCAUGCAACUUUGCACUGCUCUACUACUCAGCAGCAGGUCAAGUGCUGACCCAGCACCCCUUUGCACCAGUCUUUCAAACCCUGGCCACACUAACUAAUCAACCUGAUUGCUGUUUAUGCCAAGAUCUAGACCAUGCAAAGCAACCUGAAUUCAUUUUCAUCCCUGCUGAUGUCAGUGCCUGGUGGAACCAAUCUGGAAAAAGCAUGAAUGAUAAUAUGUGGUAUCCACAGCCAGAGAAGAAGCAACAUACGACUUCACCUGCUGGUGAGACAACUGGUCUGUAAAAACUGUGGAGAUAUCUUUUGCUCAGGGACACAUAACAACCUGAUAUGUGAAUAUGCCAGUGAAGAGGACAAGACAUGACAAUCCCCAGGCUGGAAGGUCACAGGUUCUAACCUGACUGUCUAUAAAUAAUACUGGUCUUUUUAUCUUGUGUGGUAAUAAGGUAUACAAAUGGUUCCCACUCAAAUGGUUAGGAUGCUAUAGUCUUGGCUAUCUGACACGCUCUAUUACCAAGUAUUCCACUUUAAAUUCCAGUCAAAUUACAAUCUUGGGCUCUGUUGCUCAUAAGGUUGUACCUUAUGAACAUACAAAAUGUGACAUUAUAAAAAAUCCCCUUGUAUAUCAUAACUCAAAGUUCUUUUCAAUGCUCAGGAUCCUUUAUUCAGCAUUUGGAACUUAACAGAAUUGAAAGUGCAGUCAUAAAUCUCUCCAUGGUAAUAGAAUAAGAGCUAAACAUCACCAUGUGGGCAUUGGGAACACUUCAAGCAGAGAUUAACAGCCUAGCAUCUGUUGUAAUUCAAAAUCACCACAUCCUGGAUGCUUUGAUAGCUCAACAAAGAAGAGCUUGUGCUGUUAUUUGGGGGAAAAUGUUGUUUUUGCAUAAAUCAGUCAGGGAAAACAGAGACUGAUCUACAUCUCUUAAAGAACAAGAUAAACAUUCUUCAUCAAAUUAAUGAAGUGAAACCAUUCUAUUGAACUGACCUUUUCCCAGGAAUGGGAGACUGGUUUAAUGGGGGUAUGAGGAAAUGUGCUUAGAUCUGUUCUUUUCUGCUUAUUCAUUCUCAUCCUAAUUUAUAGUCUCUUUUUUUUUGAGACAGAGUCUCACUAUGUCACCCUUGGUAGAGUGUUGUGGCAUAACAGAUCACAGCAGCCUCAAAAUCUUGGGCUGAAGCAAUUCUCUUGCCUCAGUCUCCCAAGUAGCUGGGACUACAGGUGCCCACCACAAUGCCUGGCUAUUUUUGUUGUUUUUGUUGUCACAGUUGUCAUUGUUACCUUAGCCAGCCAGGCUGGGUUCAAACUUACCAGCCUCAAUGUAUGUGUCCGGUGCCUUACCCAAGGCAGGUAUGGGUGCCACCUCUAAUUUAUACUAUUAUAUGUCUUAUCAAACAUCUUAUCUUAUUACUAAAUUGCUAACCUGCUUUCUCUCUCUCUACAUUUACCACCUCAGCUCUUAAUGUUUGAAACUUCUAGGGAAGUUCCAGACCAGAGAAAUGAAG